GACGAACGCUGGCGGCGUGCUUAACACAUGCAAGUCGAACGGAAAGGCCCUGCUUUUGUUGGGUGCUCGAGUGGCGAACGCGUGAGUAACACGUGUGUAACCUGCCCUUGUCUGUGGGAUAACUUCAGGGAACUGGGGCUCAUACCGCAUAUGAGCUCCUGCUGCAUGGUGGGGGUUGGAAAGUUUCGGCGGUUCUGGCUGGUCUCGCGGCUUAUGCGCCUGUUGGGGGAGUAGUGGCUUACCAAGGCUUUGACGGGUAGGCGGCCUGGGAGGGGGAACGGCGACAAUGGGACUGCGAGAGGGAGCAGUCGGCAAUGGGAGGCAGCAGGGGGGAACAUUGCACAAUGGGCGGAAGCGUGAGGUAGAGACGUUGCGUGCGGGAUGACGGGUUUCGGGUUGUGAACCAAUGUGUACGUUGACGUGGAGGGAGUGACGGUAACGGGUAAAGAAGCACCGGCUAACUACGUG
Molecule: ribosomal RNA, 468 nt
Filed under: uncultured bacterium
Lineage: Bacteria
Description: partial 16S ribosomal RNA
Rfam family: Bacterial small subunit ribosomal RNA
Source: RNAcentral